This 253-nucleotide ribosomal RNA is filed under the name uncultured bacterium. RNAcentral's name for it is "partial 16S ribosomal RNA". It matches the Rfam family "Bacterial small subunit ribosomal RNA", at positions 524 to 776 of the family's 1533-position model. The record is from RNAcentral.
UACGUAGGGAGCAAGCGUUGUCCGGAAUCAUUGGGCGUAAAGCGCGCGUAGGUGGCUUCGUAAGUCCGUUGUGAAAGUCAAAGGCUCAACCUUUGAAAGCCGAUGGAUACUGUGAAGCUAGAGUACGGAAGAGGCGAGUGGAAUUCCCAGUGUAGAGGUGAAAUUCGUAGAUAUUGGGAAGAACACCGGUGGCGAAGGCGGCCAACUGGACCACAACUGACGCUGAGGCGCGAAAGCGUGGGGAGCAAACAGG